GGCUCUCCUACCUUAUUUUUUUUUCUGCUGGUGGCCUGGUUGAAGAUGGAUUUGGCUUUUGGUAGGAAGGGGGCUAAAUCCUUUGCAGGGGAGGAGACAUGGCUUUAUGGACAAAGCUGGGAGGCAGAAGUCCAGCACCAGAAAAAUCAAAACUUCCUUGUCUCAGGACCAAGUUAACCAAGGUUGAGCUUUUCAGUAUGGGAAGGGCCGAAGAUGACAUGGUUGCUACUCUGAUUUAGAUUGUUGAGAGAGCUAUCCAGUUUUAACGUGCAUGACUGCAAGGCAGAAGCUGUACUUGGUAUCAGAGAGAUUGAAGCUGUAGUCAAAUUCACUUUGUUCACCUGGAUUGGUUAGUGAUGGAAGCCAUGAUUUAAAAUCCUACCAACAGUGACUUAGUUUCUCUUUAUGAAAGAAGAUAGAUUUUUACCUCUCCAAGAAUACUGACGUUCUCCAGCAGAACUAAUAAGUACCAAAAAUGUUUGAAUCUUCUUGCACAAAACCUGAUAAAAUUCCUUAAUAUUUGCCCUUGUUAUCUCUGUAAAUUAACAGCCAAGUAAAAAUAAAUAGUAUUUGAAUAAAUGUUGAACAUUUUUCUGUAUUAUAUUUUUAAAUGGAACAAGUGUACCUAAAACUUACAUUUUAUAACCUGGAACUUGAUGAAUUCAUUACAAUAACAUUUGAGCAGAAGAAUGGAUAGAAUUAAAUUCCUGUAACUAUUUUGUUACUACCUAAUUUGAGUAUGGUGUUCCAAGG
RNAcentral lists this long non-coding RNA (753 nucleotides) under Sarcophilus harrisii (Tasmanian devil). Its description in RNAcentral is "lncRNA (ENSSHAG00000031945.1)". The record is from RNAcentral. Lineage: Eukaryota; Metazoa; Chordata; Mammalia; Dasyuromorphia; Dasyuridae.